Molecule: transfer RNA, 355 nt
Filed under: uncultured Microcystis sp.
Lineage: Bacteria; Bacillati; Cyanobacteriota; Cyanophyceae; Chroococcales; Microcystaceae
Description: partial 16S-23S ribosomal RNA intergenic spacer
Rfam family: tRNA (bases 133-206)
Source: RNAcentral
AAGGGAGACCUAAUUCGGGUAUAAGACGAAAAAAGAGUAGUCGAAACCAAGAAUCAAUCCCAAAAGGUCGGAACGAGGUAUGUGGCUUUCAAACUAGGUUCUGGGUUCACACAAGACCUGAAUCAGGAACAAGGGCUAUUAGCUCAGGUGGUUAGAGCGCACCCCUGAUAAGGGUGAGGUCCCUGGUUCGAGUCCAGGAUGGCCCACCUGCACAGGUGGCAAAAACAAAGAAGCGAGGAAUCAGCACCUUAUCUUAUCUAUAUAUAAGAGAGAAUGCUGGCUCUGAGUAAAGAGUCCAGAGGAACCUUGAAAACUGCAUAGGGCUAGGUGAAAAAGCCAAAAAAGAAGACCGCAA